UCCUACGGGAGGCAGCAGUGGGGAAUUUUGCACAAUGCCCGAAAGGGUGAUGCAGCAACGCCGCGUGAGGGAUGAAGGCUUUCGGGUCGUAAACCUCUUUCGAUCGGGAAAAAUGGGCGGGUGAAGAGCCCGUUCUGAUGGUACCGGAUGAAGAAGCCCCGGCCAACUACGUGCCAGCAGCCGCGGUAAUACGUAGGGGGCGAGCGUUGUUCGGAAUUACUGGGCGUAAAGGGCGUGUAGGCGGUGCGAUAAGUCGGACGUGAAAUCCCCGGGCUCAACUCGGGGCGGUCGUUCGAAACUGUCGCGCUUGAGUGUGGGAGAGGGAAGUGGAAUUCCCGGUGUAGCGGUGAAAUGCGUAGAUAUCGGGAAGAACACCGGUGGCGAAGGCGGCUUCCUGGUCCAUUACUGACGCUGAGGCGCGAAAGCUAGGGGAGCAAACAGGAUUAGAUACCCUGGUAGU
This 460-nucleotide ribosomal RNA is filed under the name uncultured bacterium. Its description in RNAcentral is "bacterial SSU rRNA". It matches the Rfam family "Bacterial small subunit ribosomal RNA", at positions 337 to 794 of the family's 1533-position model. The record is from RNAcentral.